AUGUUAAUUUAUGCUGAUGACAUAAUUGUUGCUAGCUUGUCUUCAGAAGACACCUCAGCAUUGUUGAAACAGUUGAAAAAUGAGUUUGCUCUUAAGGACCUAGGAGAGCUCCAUUAUUUCCUAGGAAUUGAGGUUAAAAAGGUGCAUGAUGGUAUAGUACUAACUCAAGAAAAAUAUGCCAGAGAUGUAAUCAAGCGUGUAGGUAUGAAAGAUUGCAAACCUUCCAACACACCCAUGUCUACAACUGAAAAAUUGUCGUUGCAUGAAGGAGUGUUGUUGAGUCCAGAGGAAGGAACAAAGUAUAGAAGCAUAGUUGGUGCACUACAAUAUUUAACCUUAACAAGGCCAGAUAUUUCCUUCUCUGUUAACAAGGUUUGUCAGUUUCUACAUGCUCCUACCACAGUGCAUUGGACAGCUGUAAAAAAGAUUUUGAGGUAUCUUCAAGGAAGUGUUGAAACAGGGCUGAGGUUACGUAAGUCUUCUUCAACAGCAGUGAGUGCCUUUUCAGAUGCAGAUUGGGCUGGAUGUCCUGAUGAUAGGAGGUCCACUAGUGGUUUCGCUAUCUUUCUUGGUUCAAACCUCAUAUCCUGGAAUGCAAAGAAACAAGCAACUGUGUCUCGGUCAAGCACAGAAGCAGAGUAUAAGUCUCUGGCAAAUGCAAUCGUUGAGGUAAUGUGGAUAGAAACUUUACUUAAUGAAUUGGGUAUUGGAAGGUCACAUGUCUCACAGUUGUGGUGUGAUAAUCUUGGAGCAACUUACCUUUCUGCAAAUCCGGUAUUUCAUGCAAGAACAAAGCAUAUAGAAAUUGAUUAUCACUUUGUUUGA
Molecule: ribosomal RNA, 825 nt
Filed under: Triticum aestivum (bread wheat)
Lineage: Eukaryota; Viridiplantae; Streptophyta; Magnoliopsida; Poales; Poaceae
Description: partial small subunit ribosomal RNA
Source: RNAcentral